Molecule: ribosomal RNA, 660 nt
Filed under: uncultured bacterium
Lineage: Bacteria
Description: bacterial SSU rRNA
Rfam family: Bacterial small subunit ribosomal RNA
Source: RNAcentral
AGUGGCGGACGGGUGAGUAACGCGUGAGAAUCUGCCUUGGGGUCGGGGACAACCACUGGAAACGGUGGCUAAUACCGGAUAAGCCGAUUGGUGAAAGAUUUAUUGCCCGAAGAGGAGCUCGCGUCUGAUUAGCUAGUUGGUGAGGUAAGAGCUCACCAAGGCAGCGAUCAGUAGCUGGUCUGAGAGGACGAUCAGCCACACUGGGACUGAGACACGGCCCAGACUCCUACGGGAGGCAGCAGUGGGGAAUUUUCCGCAAUGGGCGAAAGCCUGACGGAGCAAGACCGCGUGAGGGAGGAAGGCUCUUGGGUUGUAAACCUCUUUUCUCAGGGAAGAAGCUCUGACGGUACCUGAGGAAUCAGCCUCGGCUAACUCCGUGCCAGCAGCCUCGGUAAUACGGAGGAGGCAAGCGUUAUCCGGAAUUAUUGGGCGUAAAGCGUCCGCAGGUGGCGAUUCAAGUCUGCUGUCAAAGCACGGGGCUUAACUCCGUAAAGGCAGUGGAAACUGAAUAGCUAGAGUGCCGUAGGGGUAGAGGGAAUUCCCGGUGUAGCGGUGAAAUGCGUAGAGAUCGGGAAGAACAUCGGUGGCGAAAGCGCUCUACUGGACGGCAACUGACACUCAGGGACGAAAGCUAGGGGAGCGAAUGGGAUUAGAUACCCC